This is a long non-coding RNA of Malus domestica (apple), 609 nucleotides long. RefSeq lists it as uncharacterized. The record is from RefSeq and is a predicted model, not a curated record. Lineage: Eukaryota; Viridiplantae; Streptophyta; Magnoliopsida; Rosales; Rosaceae.
GCCCAAAUUAAAGAGUUCCAGAGAAAAAGAAACUGCUUUGCUGCUUUUGACAGUUUGACACCAAAAAUCGUUUGCCAUGCACAGUGAUUUACGCAGGAAAGCUCUAAUCAACGAACAGGUUAACGUUGUUAAGGGUGAGAGAUGGCGUUUGUAAUGGAGUUUGCUGAGAAUCUGGUAUUAUGGAGGAUCCUAAAGAGAGGGAUAGGAAGUUCAGGGAGCACGUGUAUGCGGUGAGAGACCGGUGCCAAAAGACCAAGGAGAUGUGGGCGUUACCUCUCCGUCCCUACGGAUUUUGGACCUUUGAGCGCCACAAUUCGCAGCUCCGUUGGGAUGCCCAGAUUAGCCAGGUUGCAGGCCGGAGGGACCCCUAUGAUGAUCUCCUCCAACACAGCUAUGAUCCCGUCACCCCCCAAAACUAAUCGAGUGCGUAUAAGGUCAAGCCGUCUGCAGAAUUCAAGUAGAGGUUUCUGUUGCUGUUGGAAUUUGGUGUUGUCGUAAAAAUAUUGUUCGGUUUUAGUCUGUUCGAAUAAGAGUCCGUGCAUCUUCGGUGUUGUGUGAGAAGUUGACAUUUCGCGUGUUAAUUCUACAAGUUUUCUAUUUCUCGUUUUA